RNAcentral lists this ribosomal RNA (462 nucleotides) under uncultured bacterium. RNAcentral's name for it is "partial 16S ribosomal RNA". It matches the Rfam family "Bacterial small subunit ribosomal RNA", at positions 28 to 507 of the family's 1533-position model. The record is from RNAcentral.
GAUGAACGCUGACAGAAUGCUUAACACAUGCAAGUCAUUGGCGAAGCUGCGCUUGCGCAGUCUAGCCAAGGCGGACGGGUGAGUAACGCGUAAGGAACUUGCCCUGCAGACAGGGAUAACAGAGGGAAACGACUGAUAACACCUGGUAUUGUCAGGCUGGCGCAUGCCGGCCUGAUGAAAGGAGACGCUGCAGGAGAGCCUUGCGUCCUAUUAGCUAGUUGGUGGGGUAACGGCCCACCAAGGCGAUGAUAGGUAGCCGGCCUGAGAGGGUGAACGGCCACAAGGGGACUGAGAUACGGCCCUUACUCCUACGGGAGGCAGCAGUGGGGAAUAUUGGACAAUGGGGGCAACCCUGAUCCAGCAAUUCUGUGUGCACGAAGAAGGUUUUCGGAUUGUAAAGUGCUUUCAGCAGGGAAGAAGAAAGUGACGGUACCUGCAGAAGAAGCGACGGCUAAAUACGUG